Molecule: long non-coding RNA, 535 nt
Filed under: Homo sapiens (human)
Lineage: Eukaryota; Metazoa; Chordata; Mammalia; Primates; Hominidae
Description: non-protein coding lnc-KLHL22-5:1
Source: RNAcentral
AGAUGCCAGUGAGGUCCCUCCCUUUACUGUAGAUGCCAGUGUGACCCUUCCCUUCACUGUAGAUGCCAGCGAGGUCCCUCCAUUCACUGUAGAUGCCAGCGAGGUCCCUCCAUUCACUGUAGAUGCCAGCGAGGUCCCUCCCUUUACUGUAGAUGCCAGCAAGGUCCCUCCCUUCACUGUAGAUGCCAGCAUGGCCCUUCCCUUCACUGUAGAUGCCAGCGAGGUCCUUCUGUCUGCUCAGACGUCUUUGACUCCCUCUUAUGCACAUCCCACAGAUGACUCUCAGCACAUCCCAUCACCUUCACCUUUGAGGUUUAUCCAGGAUCUGACAAGUCCCAGCAUCCCAGCUGCUGCCCUCUGGCCUGGCCUCCUGCUCCCCAACCCCAGGCAUCUUCCCCUUCUCCACAUGCGGUUGGCGCAAGCCAGGGGGGAAUCAGAGCCCCCCUACAGACUCGAAGUUCAUGCGGGAGAUGGCAGGGGCCUGGCACAUGACGGUGGAGCAGAAAUUUGGCCUGUUUUCUGCUGAGAUAAAGGA